RNA transcript from Myiozetetes cayanensis, 4296 nucleotides. It is a transcript of the gene named Meis homeobox 1, with no coding region annotated. NCBI's taxonomy places the organism in Eukaryota, Metazoa, Chordata, Aves, Passeriformes, Tyrannidae. The record is from RefSeq and is a predicted model, not a curated record. The transcript has 12 exons.
UAAUAUUGAAACGUGGCUGACAGAGACGCUGCGAAAAAAGUUUCUUUUCUUUUUUUUUUUUUUUUUUUUUUUUCCUCCUUUUUGGAACAGGGGCACAAAGCGGUGUCCUGCAGCGGGAGGAUUUAUCAGUUGUACUUGUAGGCUUAAAACCUGCGUAUAUUGCUAUUUUCUUGAUUCUUUUACUCCCCAUCCCGGAGCUCUCAGGGAAGAGGCAAAGCUUUCUAUACAUUAAUGACAUGCAGGCAUUACGACGAGCUGCCCCACUACGGCGGCAUGGAGGGGGUGGGCAUCCCCACCACCAUGUACGGGGACCCCCACGGCGCCCGCCCCAUGCAGCCCGUGCACCACCUCAACCACGGGCCGCCGCUCCACUCGCACCAGUACCCGCACGCCGCCCACGCCAACGCCAUGCCCCCCGCCAUGGGCGCCUCCGUCAACGACGCCCUCAAGAGAGAUAAAGAUGCCAUCUACGGACACCCCCUGUUCCCUCUUUUAGCACUGAUUUUUGAGAAAUGUGAAUUAGCUACAUGCACACCCAGGGAGCCCGGGGUAGCGGGAGGCGAUGUUUGCUCCUCUGAGUCUUUCAAUGAAGACAUAGCAGUGUUCGCCAAACAGAUCCGAGCAGAGAAACCCCUCUUUUCCUCUAAUCCUGAACUGGAUAACUUGAUGAUUCAAGCCAUACAAGUAUUAAGGUUUCAUCUGUUGGAAUUAGAGAAGGUACACGAAUUAUGUGACAAUUUCUGCCACCGGUAUAUUAGCUGUUUGAAAGGAAAAAUGCCUAUCGAUUUGGUCAUAGACGAUAGAGAGGGCGGAUCAAAAUCGGACAGUGAAGACAUAACAAGAUCAGCAAACCUAACGGAUCAGCCCUCCUGGAACAGAGACCACGAUGACACGGCAUCAACGCGCUCUGGGGGAACACCCGGACCCUCCAGCGGAGGACACACAUCGCACAGCGGGGACAACAGCAGUGAGCAAGGUGACGGCUUGGACAACAGUGUAGCUUCCCCCAGCACAGGUGAUGAUGAUGAUCCAGAUAAGGACAAAAAGCGACAUAAAAAGCGUGGCAUCUUUCCCAAAGUAGCCACAAAUAUCAUGAGGGCAUGGCUGUUCCAGCAUCUAACACACCCUUACCCUUCAGAAGAACAGAAAAAGCAGUUGGCACAAGACACAGGGCUCACUAUACUUCAAGUGAACAAUUGGUUUAUUAAUGCUAGAAGAAGAAUAGUUCAGCCCAUGAUAGACCAGUCCAAUCGAGCAGGCAAGUCCCCAAUAGUAACUGUAUUCGAGUCACGCAGGCGAAAACCAUCCUCAAGCCAUUCACCGGGAGGUCCAUUACCUGGUAAAUAAAUGAGAAAUGAAUGCUGGGAGUGAUUGACAAUUAAAAUACAACCAGCUUUCUUUCAUUACAACUCUGAUCAUUUUUAACAUGAUUAAAAACAUUUGGGGGAAAAAAAAGGACAUUGAAAAUUCAAAAAGAAAAACUGAAAUGAUCCGCUCCAUGGCCGGACUUUCUGUACACGAUCCCAAUCAUUCUUAUUUUUUUUUUAGCAGUUGUUUGGAGUUUUCCUUCCCAGCUCUUUCUGCUCCUGUGACCACUCCCUGGUGCAUGGCUUGGUGUGGAAUUGCUGUAAACUUUAUUACCUGUCAAAAGGGCAAAGGGGUCAGAAUCGCUUGUGGGACUCAGUAAAGUUCAAAGACAUUCAAUGAGGUAGAGCUUUAUGUGCUUUAAUAACCCAAGGCAGCUUACUUCUGAAGCCGGCUUUUAAUGUACAGUCAAAACCUCCAGUUCAGGUAGUGGUACUUGUACAGGGUUCUUUUGUCCCUUGGCUCUUCUUUUUAGUAGCUGUCUUUUGGGAUUGCUGAGCAUUUGCUGUUUACUUUGGGAGGAUUUAUUUCUGGUUUUUUAAAAGACCUUAAGUUUUCACAUGCUGGUUCUAUCUGGGGUCUUGGCUCGCAGUUCUGCGUGGGUAUUUACCAUCAAGGAUUACCAGAGCCUGUUAGUCCUAGUUGGUUUUGUUUUCCAAGUCUUGCUGUCAAACUCUUCAAAUACAUCAUUGCCCAAGAUGCCUUAGGGCCACACUUCCUCUUCAAGUACAUUUGAUUGUUUGUCAUUAGAGGUAAAUAUCUGGCACGGACGUGUUCAGGUCCUGCUCUUAGAAGGCACAGGGGCGUAAUUUAACACACUGUGAUUUCAGUGUGACUAUUCCAGCCAUAAAAUCCGGCUCCUAUACAGGUUUUUGCAUUGACGUCAGCAGCGGCAGCAGCUGGAGCUGGCGCUCCUCAUGUCUCAAGAUUUCAGUUUGCAAACUUCAGUUUCCAAACUUGCAGAAGGAGAUUAAGCCAAAACUUAAGCGUGCUUGUUAGUCCGGCGCUAAAUUCGCACAGCAGAUACUUUUCCCUCUUUUUAGAGCCGACAUCGAUAGCCCGUGGGUGGCGGUGGGGCAGGGGGGGUUGUGUCUCGAUGCCGUGAGAAGAGGUGACCCUCUUGGCUGCUGCUAAAAAAGCAACGUUCUGCACUUUUCCAGUAAGUCAAGGAACACCCUAUAACCCCGACGGGCAGCCGAUGGGAGGUUUCGUGAUGGACGGCCAGCAGCACAUGGGCAUCCGAGCGCCAGGACCUAUGAGUGGAAUGGGCAUGAAUAUGGGCAUGGAGGGGCAGUGGCACUACAUGUAACCUUCACCUAGGUAACCAAUGGCAAAGCCAGGGGGAAGGCUGCAAAGUAUGCCAGGGGAUUAUGUGUCUCGGGGUAGUCCAAUGGGUAUGAAUAUGGGACAGCCAAGCUAUACCCCGCCCCAGAUGCCCCCCCAUCCUGCUCAGCUGCGUCAUGGCCCCCCCAUGCAUACCUACAUUCCUGGACACCCUCACCACCCAGCGAUGAUGAUGCAUGGAGGACCACCCCACCCUGGAAUGCCCAUGUCAGCAUCAAGCCCCACAAUGCUUCAUACCGGCGAGCCAGCAGUGAGCGGACAAGUGAUGGACAUUCAUGCUCAGUAGCUUAAGGGAAAACACACGUUGUCUGCAGCGAUGGUAGAUUUCAAACAUUGUCUUUCUGCAAUGACUAUGGAGUUCUUGGCGUCAACUUUGGACCAAGGGACGUUCCAGUUCUUCACAGGGACCCUGAAAAGCAGGAAAACACCAACCGAAGUCAACUUCUGGGGACAUGCUAAAUACCUAUAUAAGACAUUAAGAGAACAAAGAGUGAAAUAUUGUAAAAUGCUAUUAUACUGUUAUCCAUAUUACGUUGUUUCUUAUAGAUUUUUUAAAAAAAAUGUGAAAUUUUUCCACACUAUGUGUGUUGUUUCCAUAGCUCUUCACUUCCUCCAGAAGCCUCCUUACAUUAAAAAAGAAGCCUUACACUUAUCCUGCAAAUGACAGAAAGGGCUUAUUUGCAGGAUUUUUAGAGCAUUAAAAUAACUAUGUCAGGCAGAAGAAUCUUUCUUCUAUCCUAGGAUUUCAGCCAUGCACACUCUCUCUCUCUCUCUCUCUCCCCCCUCUCUCCUCCUCUAUCUCGGUCUGUCUUUCUUCCCUUUCUCUCCCUUUCUCCCCAUCUCUCUCCCUCUCUCUCUUUCUAGCCUGGGGCGUGAAUUUGCAUGUCUAAUUCAUUUACUCACCAUAUUUGAAUUGGCCUGAACAGAUGUAAAUCGGGAAGGAUGGGAAAAACUGCAGUCAUCAACAAUGAUUAAUCAGCUGUUGCAGGCAGUGUCUUAAGGAGACUGGUAGGAGGAAGCAUGGAAACGGAAAGGCAGUGUAUUUGAAGCCUAAUUGUCACAUCAGAGCAUCCUUGUCCCCAUGCAGCAACCACCACCUUGUACAUCACUUCCUGUUUUAUGCAGCUCGAAACAUGGACUGAAGAUUUAUUUUUAAUAUGUUGACUUUCUUUCUGGGCAAGACAUCGGUCAUGUGUGCAUUUUUUUUUUUCCAUAGUCCCAUCAUGGAGCAUUUAUGUAUACAUUGUAAAUAAAUUUUGUGCAAAAAGGACUGGAAAAAUGAUCUGUAUUAUUGCAAUUUUUUGUAAAAGUAGCAGUUUGGUAUGAGUUGGCAUGCAUACAGAUUUACUAAGUGGGAUAAGCUAAUUAUACUUUUGUUGUGGUUAAACAAAUGCUUGUUGAUAGCCUUUUCUAUCAAGAAACCAAGGAGCUAAUUAUUAUUAAUAAUAAUCAUUGCACACUGAGUCUUAGAGUUUCUGAUUGAAACAGUUUGGAUUGUAUAAUAACUCAAAGCCCAGUUGUAGUAGUUUGAGUGCAGUAAUGAAAUCUGAAUCUAAAAUAAAAACAAAUUAUUUUUUGUCAUGGUGA